CUUCGAUGGAUAGGGGUUCUGAGAGGAAGGUCCCCCACAUUGGAACUGAGACACGGUCCAAACUCCUACGGGAGGCAGCAGUGAGGAAUAUUGGUCAAUGGGCGGUAGCCUGAACCAGCCAAGUAGCGUGAAGGAUGAAGGCUCUAUGGGUCGUAAACUUCUUUUAUAUAAGAAUAAAGUGCAGUAUGUAUACUGUUUUGUAUGUAUUAUAUGAAUAAGGAUCGGCUAACUCCGUGCCAGCAGCCGCGGUAAUACGGAGGAUCCGAGCGUUAUCCGGAUUUAUUGGGUUUAAAGGGAGCGUAGGUGGACUGGUAAGUCAGUUGUGAAAGUUUGCGGCUCAACCGUAAAAUUGCAGUUGAUACUGUCAGCCUUGAGUACAGUAGAGGUGGGCGGAAUUCGUGGUGUAGCGGUGAAAUGCUUAGAUAUCACGAAGAACUCCGAUUGCGAAGGCAGCUCACUGGACUGCAACUGACACUGAUGCUCGAAAGUGUGGGUAUCAAACAGGAUUAGAUACCCUGGUAGUCCACACAGUAAACGAUGAAUACUCGCUGUUUGCGAUAUACAGUAAGCGGCC
This 574-nucleotide ribosomal RNA is filed under the name uncultured bacterium. Its description in RNAcentral is "bacterial SSU rRNA". It matches the Rfam family "Bacterial small subunit ribosomal RNA", at positions 274 to 848 of the family's 1533-position model. The record is from RNAcentral.